Gossypium hirsutum (cotton) is the source of this 145-nucleotide non-coding RNA. The record is from Rfam. NCBI's taxonomy places the organism in Eukaryota, Viridiplantae, Streptophyta, Magnoliopsida, Malvales, Malvaceae.
UGUUAAAAAUAUCAUUCAUUCAUACUAUUAAAAAUUGGCGUAAUUGAUAAAAUAACAAGAUAAUUACACGUGGCAUGUCACGUGUACCUUUUGUUGACGUACAAUGACUUGUUUUUAAUAGUAAAAAUAAAUGAAAUUUUUAAUA